Molecule: transfer RNA, 84 nt
Filed under: Candidatus Woesearchaeota archaeon
Lineage: Archaea; Nanobdellati; Candidatus Woesearchaeota
Description: tRNA-Leu
Rfam family: tRNA
About the family: Transfer RNA (tRNA) molecules are approximately 80 nucleotides in length. Their secondary structure includes four short double-helical elements and three loops (D, anti-codon, and T loops).
Source: RNAcentral
GCCGCGGUCGCUCAAUCCGGUGGAGCGGAAGGUUCAGACCCUUCUGCUGGAAACAGCAUCUGGGUUCAAAUCCCAGCCGCGGCG